GAUGAACGCUGGCGGCGUGCCUAAUACAUGCAAGUCGAGCGAACGGACGAGAAGCUUGCUUCUCUAAUGUUAGCGGCGGACGGGUGAGUAACACGUGGAUAACCUACCUAUAAGACUGGGAUAACUUCGGGAAACCGUAGCUAAUACCGGAUAAUAUUUUGAACCGCAUGGUUCAAAAGUGAAAGACGGUCUUGCUGUCACUUAUAGAUGGAUCCGCGCUGCAUUAGCUAGUUGGUAAGGUAACGGCUUACCAAGGCAACGAUGCAUAGCCGACCUGAGAGGGUGAUCGGCCACACUGGAACUGAGACACGGUCCAGACUCCUACGGGAGGCAGCAGUAAGGAAUCUUCCGCAAUGGGCGAAAGCCUGACGGAGCAACGCCGCGUGAGUGAUGAAGGUCUUCGGAUCGUAAAACUCUGUUAUUAGGGAAGAACAUAUGUGUAAGUAACUGUGCACAUCUUGACGGUACCUAAUCAGAAAGCCACGGCUAACUACGUG
This 497-nucleotide ribosomal RNA is filed under the name uncultured bacterium. RNAcentral describes it as "partial 16S ribosomal RNA". It matches the Rfam family "Bacterial small subunit ribosomal RNA", at positions 28 to 507 of the family's 1533-position model. The record is from RNAcentral.